ACGAAGUUGGAUUCGCUAGUAAUCGCGCAUCAGCCAUGGCGCGGUGAAUACGUUCCCGGGCCUUGUACACACCGCCCGUCACACCAUGGGAGCCGGUAAUACCCGAAGUCAGUAGUCUAACCGCAAGGAGGACGCUGCCGAAGGUAGGAUUGGCGACUGGGGUGAAGUCGUAACAAGGUACC
Molecule: ribosomal RNA, 182 nt
Filed under: uncultured bacterium
Lineage: Bacteria
Description: partial 16S ribosomal RNA
Rfam family: Bacterial small subunit ribosomal RNA
Source: RNAcentral